GCCCGCCCAGCGCGCGCUUAUCGCGGCUGCCCAGGCGCCGCGCCCCCGCCCCGCCUCCCCGCGCCCCGGGGUCUCGAGUCCCCGCCGCCGCCGCGGGCUUCGGGGCGCAGGGCGGCCUGGAGGCCGAGAUAAUAAACAGCCGCCAGGACAACAGUACGUUCGCGUGCGGACGACGCGGAUCAACCGUCCGCGGCCGCAGGUGCUGCGGACCGAGACGCCGGCAGAGCGCUCCCAACCGCUUGGGGCUGCGGCCGCCCCGAGGGCGCCCGACUUCUUUGUCCUGGAGGCGGCGGGCCGGGCCUGGGCCGCGGGCGGGGGGCGCAGGGACCGGGGGGAAGGGCAGGGGGGGAUCGGGGUCCGGGGGCGGGGGCGCAGGGACCGGGACGCGCAAGGACUAGAGCGUGCGGGGACUGGGGCGGGGAGAGGGGGGCACGGGGUCCCGGGCUCCUGUCCCGCGACGGCCGCGGGGGCGGAAGCGGGGGCUGGAGGUGCCAGGGACCAAAAACUCUUAGACGCUGAGCCUCCGCCCGCAUCCCACGAGUCUGGUGUUAAUUGGCGUCCACAUCGCCAAUCAUUACGUUAACUCCGGAUACGGUGUGGAUCCUAAACCCUUUUUUCCUCCAAGUUAUCAUCACUGGUUAGUUGGUUUGCUUCCUUUGAGAUCGAGAAUUUAAAGAAGUCCAUUGAAGUUCCCCAUUUUGCAGUGUGGUCUUAAAGUAUUUCUUAACCCGACUACUAGGUUAACCUAACCUACCAGAGACAACAGACAGCGUGUAUACUUGGGAGUGGAGAAUUUCCGGGGUUUGCUCUCCGAGAGAUGCUUGUCAGCCACAACUGGCCAGAUGUGGCUUCGUGGAACAGGCAACGAAGACCUCACUUACAGAGCCACGUCUUGGUGCUUGUAGCCGCGAGUGGCACAGUCCCCCUCCCCCGUUUGCAAGGAAGAUGAGAAGUGGAGGGGCCGGGAACCCCACACCGGAAAUAACAGGAUCCUCCCUGCGGAUCCCUCACCGCCCUUCUUCGGUCCUGCUUCCCAGAGGAUCUGGGCUGUUAGGACUAACAAUUCUCGUAGGAAGUAGGUCUAGGCCCCGUACCACGUGGCGUGAGGACGUCCAGUUGGACCCAUCUGGUGUUGUUUUCGGGAACACGCUGCCACACCCUGGUUGCUGCAGAAAACUUUUCAUCAGGUGGAAAUCCCCCGGGGGCCACCUGAUAUCACAUUUCUACGGAGGUCUGAUCUGAAUCGUUUCUGUUCACGCCGAAGCGGAGUUCAUGGUGACCGUGAGGGAACAGCUAUGUCCGUCUCGAUACUGACCGUCUUCAUUUUUAUUUGAAACACAUUCGUGUAUAUCUGUAGCACUUCCCUGGUUUUUCUCAACGUCUCACUAGCACAAGGGGAGGCUUUGAAUGAAUUGAUCCAAAUACCACGCUCUCCUCAGCCUUAACGGAAUCUCUUAAUCCAUGUAGUAUGAAUAUGUGAUUUUUUUUUUCUGCCCAAAUACUCAUGCUACACGCUCCUGAGAGCUGCUGGGUCAGUACUCGAGCCGACUCUGCGACCUCCAGGUAACCCGUGUUGGCAUCACACGCCAUCCGUCUGAGAGAAUCACACGGAUUUUUAGUCAUUUAUGUCGGUGUGUGUUCUGAGUAAAAUGCAAGAUAUUACUGCGCUCCAAACAGGUUUUAGGUUGUACAAUCAAUUAGGAUGUUCUUGCUUCAAAUAAGUGAAGAAACUUAAAA
Molecule: long non-coding RNA, 1737 nt
Organism: Leopardus geoffroyi (Geoffroy's cat)
Lineage: Eukaryota; Metazoa; Chordata; Mammalia; Carnivora; Felidae
Exons: 2
Source: RefSeq, a predicted model, not a curated record